This is a long non-coding RNA of Myotis lucifugus (little brown bat), 347 nucleotides long. RefSeq lists it as uncharacterized. Lineage: Eukaryota; Metazoa; Chordata; Mammalia; Chiroptera; Vespertilionidae. The record is from RefSeq and is a predicted model, not a curated record. The transcript has 3 exons.
UGAAGGACCCCCAACCUGGGAAGAGCCUGGAGCUGGACCCUCGGAACAGGCAGGAUGAAGACCCCCAGGGAGUGACGUACGCCCAGGUGAAACACUCAAGACCAAGACCCAGGCAGGGAAUGGCCACCUCUCCUUCCUCCCUGUCGGAGGAAUUGCUGGACACAAAGGGCAGACAAGCAGAAGAGGACAGACAGAUGGACAGUCAGGCUGCACCUGACGCCCCCCAGGAUGUGACCUACGCCCAGCUGAACCUCUUGGCCCUUAGACGGCAGACAAGUGCACCCCCAUCCUCCCCAUCUGAGGAGCCCCGAGAAGAGCCCAGCUUGUACGCUACUCUAGCCAUACAC